GAUAGUGAACUCCAACUGUCUUGUUGGUGGCAAUCCUGGUAAGACCUCGGGAAAUACAUCUCUAUAUUCUCUUACCACUGCUACAUCCUCAAAGUUUUUUUUUUUUUUACUUGAUUCUCCUUCAUCAUUCAAGUAAACUAGGUAAGCUUGUGCUCCUUUCUUCUUUACCAAUUUCGACGCCUGAAGUGCCGAAACGAUUGGAACUCUCUUCUUUCUAUCAAUGCCGUGAAAACAUGUCUGUUCCUUCCCAGGUGGUUGGAAAGUUAUCUGUCU
RNAcentral lists this long non-coding RNA (273 nucleotides) under Salvia miltiorrhiza (redroot sage). RNAcentral's name for it is "long non-coding RNA (SMIL_LNC011330)". The record is from RNAcentral. Lineage: Eukaryota; Viridiplantae; Streptophyta; Magnoliopsida; Lamiales; Lamiaceae.